RNAcentral lists this ribosomal RNA (468 nucleotides) under uncultured bacterium. Its description in RNAcentral is "partial 16S ribosomal RNA". It matches the Rfam family "Bacterial small subunit ribosomal RNA", at positions 28 to 507 of the family's 1533-position model. The record is from RNAcentral.
GAUGAACGCUGGCGGCGUGCUUAACACAUGCAAGUCGAACGGAAAGGCCCAAGCUUGCUUGGGUCCUCGAGUGGCGAACGGGUGAGUAACACGUGGGUGAUCUGCCCUGCACUUCGGGAUAAGCCUGGGAAACUGGGUCUAAUACCGGAUAGGACGAUGGUUUGGAUGCCAUUGUGGAAAGUUUUUUCGGUGUGGGAUGAGCUCGCGGCCUAUCAGCUUGUUGGUGGGGUAAUGGCCUACCAAGGCGUCGACGGGUAGCCGGCCUGAGAGGGUGUACGGCCACAUUGGGACUGAGAUACGGCCCAGGCUCCGACGGGAGGCAGCAGUGGGGAAUAUUGCACAAUGGGCGCAAGCCUGAUGCAGCGACGCCGCGUGGGGGAUGACGGCCUUCGGGUUGUAAACUCCUUUCGCUAGGGACGAAGCGUUUUUGUGACGGUACCUGGAGAAGAAGCACCGGCUAACUACGUG